GGCCAGCUCACCACCGAGCGAGCGGAGCCGCACGUCAGGUGCGGACGUCGGGGCUGGACGGCCGCCUGACUCCCUGAAUCACCUGCCGGGGCGGCUCCGGUCCGCGUCAGGUUGAGUCACCGCUCCAGGCUCUCGGCUAAGGCCUCCCUGGGGAGCUGCUGAGGGCCCUGGAGGAUGCUGGCACCAGACCUGCCUGAGGGCCGCGCCCACCAGCCCCCAGUCUGGGCCCAGAGGGUGGUGAGAGAACCCCCAGGCGAGCAGACCUUCCCGGUCCCCUCCCCCCAGCCCCUUCCAGCCACCACCCUGCUGUUUGUCUCUGGACUUGCCCGGUGGUGACACUUCACGUGAAAAGAACCCUGCGA
Long non-coding RNA from Suricata suricatta (meerkat), 362 nucleotides. RefSeq lists it as uncharacterized. The record is from RefSeq and is a predicted model, not a curated record. Lineage: Eukaryota; Metazoa; Chordata; Mammalia; Carnivora; Herpestidae. The transcript has 3 exons.